CGACAGGGCUGUUUGGAGCCCAAACCCUCUCCUCUAAUCAUGAAGGCACACGGAGAUGGCACUUCACUGCCCGGUGCCUCCCCAGCUCAGCCACAGCCGGAGAAAAUCCAAUUGGAGCUGUGAUGCAUGGAGGGGUGAUGCACCUGGCCUGGCUUUCCCAGUGCUUCAGUGCCCCUGCAUGCUGCUGGUGCUUCAGGGUUUGCUGGUGGCUGUAUGCUGGCCUUCAGGCCUUCUUCCUAGCAGGGAGAGCUGGUUGAGAGCUGGUUUGUUGGGAUAUGAAGCUCUUGGAUAAGUCCCCUGACUAGAAUUAUUUUGAAAAGGAUGCAUACAGAUCGCUGUGCGCAAUGCCAGGCGAUGGCUGCAAAGGGACAGCUCUGGAAACGUGGUUUUCAUUUACCCCCAAAGGAUGCCCACAUUGGGAAGGCACUGGAUGGAGAAAAAGCCCAUGCUGUGGUGGCUCCCAGCAGGCUCAGCUCCCACGGAGGCAAUGUCACCCACCCUACCUCGCUUCUCUAUUGUCUCUGCUGAUGCCUGGAAUUUGGUGCUGUUGCGGGAUGCUGCUCCCCAUCCUCUUGCUGGGUGUGGGUUGGGCAAAGUUACACCUUUCCACUUCUCAUCUCCCAGGCAGCAUCCCUGCACCUGGAGCCACCUGUAGGGCAUCAAUAGUAAAAUCCAGAGGGAAUGCUGGGGAUGCUACUGGGGAAGUAUAAAAGCUUUAUUUCCAUUGCUCAUCUUGGGACAAAACCAAUUACUUAAACCCAAACCCAUUAUGCUCACUAAAAUCACAUGAUUGAUGGUCUUUUGGUUGGACAGAUGCAACCUUCAUGAAUCUUAAGGGACGUGGUUUAGUGGGCACGGUAGUGAUGGGGUGACGGUUGGUCUGGAGGGCUAUAGAGCUUUUUUUCAACCUUAAUGGUUCUAUGGUUCUAUCAACAUCUUGGUGUCAUUUCUGGGAAUGAGAAAAGUGCUGUGUUGUUGAGGCACUGAAUUUUAUCCACUGAAGUGAAUAAAAAUAACACUUCCGGGGCA
This 1029-nucleotide long non-coding RNA is filed under the name Phasianus colchicus (ring-necked pheasant). RNAcentral's name for it is "lncRNA (ENSPCLG00000021055.1)". The record is from RNAcentral. Lineage: Eukaryota; Metazoa; Chordata; Aves; Galliformes; Phasianidae.